UACGUAGGGGGCGAGCGUUGUCCGGAAUUAUUGGGCGUAAAGCGCGCGCAGGUGGUUUCUUAAGUCUGAUGUGAAAGCCCACGGCUCAACCGUGGAGGGUCAUUGGAAACUGGGAGACUUGAGUGCAGAAGAGGAAAGUGGAAUUCCAUGUGUAGCGGUGAAAUGCGUAGAGAUAUGGAGGAACACCAGUGGCGAAGGCGACUUUCUGGUCUGUAACUGACACUGAGGCGCGAAAGCGUGGGGAGCAAACAGG
This 253-nucleotide ribosomal RNA is filed under the name uncultured bacterium. Its description in RNAcentral is "partial 16S ribosomal RNA". It matches the Rfam family "Bacterial small subunit ribosomal RNA", at positions 524 to 776 of the family's 1533-position model. The record is from RNAcentral.